Molecule: ribosomal RNA, 524 nt
Filed under: Ocnaea sp. SLW-2002b
Lineage: Eukaryota; Metazoa; Arthropoda; Insecta; Diptera; Acroceridae
Description: eukaryotic LSU rRNA
Rfam family: Eukaryotic large subunit ribosomal RNA
Source: RNAcentral
UAGAAUAAUGUAGUAAGGGAAGCCGCAAAUUAUAUCCGUAACUUCGGGAUAAGGAUUGGCUCUGAAGAUUGAGAUAGUCGGGCUUGAUUGGGAAGCAAUAAUAUGGUUUAUGUACUCGUUCUGGGUAAAUUAGAAUGAAAUUUAUAUUAUUUUUUAUGAUUUAUAUGUAAAUGGAGUUUGUUCCCCGGAUAGUAGCUUACGUAACCAAUUGCGGAACUUUCUUGCUAAUAAUAUAUUUAAAAGGAAAUGAAAAUUUUUUAUUUUUGUAUAUUUAUAACGGCUAUCAAUUAACAAUCAAUUCAGAACUGGCACGGACUUGGGGAAUCCGACUGUCUAAUUAAAACAAAGCAUUGUGAUGGCCCUAACGGGUGUUGACACAAUGUGAUUUCUGCCCAGUGCUCUGAAUGUCAACGUGAAGAGAUUCAAAGUAAUGCGCGGGUUAACGGCGGGAGUAACUAUGACUCUCUUAAGGUAGCCAAAUGCCUCGUCAUUCACUUAGUGACGCGUCAUGAGCGGGUAAGUCG